Molecule: ribosomal RNA, 664 nt
Filed under: uncultured euryarchaeote
Lineage: Archaea; Methanobacteriati; Methanobacteriota
Description: bacterial SSU rRNA
Rfam family: Archaeal small subunit ribosomal RNA
Source: RNAcentral
UCCGGUUGAUCCUGCCGGAGGCGACCGCUUUUGGAGUUCGAUUAAGCCAUGCGAGUCGAGAGCCUUAGGGGCUCGGCAUACUGCUCAGUAACACGUGGAUAACCUGCCCUAUUGUCUGGAAUAACCUCGGGAAACUGAGAACAAGGCCGGAUAGCCCACAAUGCCUGGAACGGUUUGUGGGUGAAGAUAGGAUGGGUCUGCGGAGUAUCAGGUUGUAGGGGGUGUAAUGGACCUCCUAGCCAUCGACGCGUACGGGUGUUGGGAGACAUAGCCCGGAGAUGGAUUCUGAGACACGAAUCCAGACCCUACGGGGUGCAGCAGGCGCGAAAACUUCACACUGCAGGAAACUGUGAUGAGGGAACUCCAAGUGCUAUCACUAUGUGGUAGCUUUUCUUGACUAUUAAUCGGUCAUGGAAUAAGGGCUGGGAAAGACCGGUGCCAGCCGCCGCGGUAAUACCGGCAGCUCAAGUGGUCGUCGCUUUUAUUGGGCCUAAAACGUACCGUAGCCUGUUUGGUAAAUCUGUGGGUAAAUCAACCACCUUAACUGGUUGAAUUCUGCAGAGAAUGCCCGACUAUGGACCGGGAAAGGUGUGAGGUAACCCAGGGGUAGGGGUAAAAUACUGUUAUCCUUAGAGGACACCAUUGGGAAGGGCCACCUGAACGG